This 500-nucleotide ribosomal RNA is filed under the name uncultured Glomeromycotina. Its description in RNAcentral is "partial small subunit ribosomal RNA". It matches the Rfam family "Eukaryotic small subunit ribosomal RNA", at positions 591 to 1092 of the family's 1831-position model. The record is from RNAcentral. Lineage: Eukaryota; Fungi; Glomeromycota.
CCAAUAGCGUAUAUUAAAGUUGUUGCAGUUAAAAAGCUCGUAGUUGAAUUUCGGGAUCAAUACGUCGGUCGUGCCUUCGGUACGCACUGGCGUCGUUGAUUUCUCCCUUCUGAUGAACCACGAUGUCAUUAAUUUGGUGUUGUGGGGAGUCAGGACUGUUACUUUGAAAAAAUUAGAGUGUUUAAAGCAGGCAAACGCUUGAAUACAUUAGCAUGGAAUAAUGAAAUAGGACGUUCGAACCUAUUUUGUUGGUUUCUAGGUACAACGUAAUGAUUAAUAGGGAUAGUUGGGGGCAUUAGUAUUCAAUUGUCAGAGGUGAAAUUCUUGGAUUUAUUGAAGACUAACUACUGCGAAAGCAUUUGCCAAGGAUGUUUUCAUUAAUCAAGAACGAAAGUUAGGGGAUCGAAGACGAUCAGAUACCGUCGUAGUCUUAACCAUAAACUAUGCCGACUAGGGAUCGGAUGAAGUUAAUUUUUUAAUGACUCAUUCGGCGCCUUACG